Molecule: ribosomal RNA, 497 nt
Filed under: uncultured Lachnospiraceae bacterium
Lineage: Bacteria; Bacillati; Bacillota; Clostridia; Lachnospirales; Lachnospiraceae
Description: bacterial SSU rRNA
Rfam family: Bacterial small subunit ribosomal RNA
Source: RNAcentral
CCUAGUAGAAGUUUCGUAGUCCUGGCGUCAGAGUGAACGCUGGCGGCGUGCUAACACAUGCAAGUCGAACGGACUCAUACUGAAACCUAGUGAUUAUGAGUUAGUGGCGGACGGGUGAGUAACGCGUGGAUAACCUGCCGUAUACCGGGGGAUAACACUUAGAAAUAGGUGCUAAUACCGCAUGAGCGCACAGCUCCGCAUGGAGCGGUGUGAAAAACUCCGGUGGUAUACGAUGGAUCCGCGUCUGAUUAGCCAGUUGGCGGGGUAACGGCCCACCAAAGCGACGAUCAGUAGCCGGCCUGAGAGGGUGAACGGCCACAUUGGGACUGAGACACGGCCCAGACUCCUACGGGAGGCAGCAGUGGGGAAUAUUGCACAAUGGGGGAAACCCUGAUGCAGCGACGCUGCGUGAGUGAAGAAGUAUCUCGGUAUGUAAAGCUCUAUCAGCAGGAAAGAUAAUGACGGUACCUGACUAAGAAGCCCCGGCUAACUACGUG